Molecule: ribosomal RNA, 339 nt
Filed under: uncultured bacterium
Lineage: Bacteria
Description: bacterial SSU rRNA
Rfam family: Bacterial small subunit ribosomal RNA
Source: RNAcentral
AAGAACGCUGGCGGCAUGCCUAACACAUGCAAGUCGAACGGUAUGAUGCUUUCGGGCAUCAGAGAGUGGCGCACGGGUGAGUAACGCGUGGGAACCUGCCCCUGGGUACGGGACAACGUCUGGAAACGGGCGCUAAUACCGUAUACGUCCUUCGGGAGAAAGAUUUAUCGCCCUGGGAGGGGCCCGCGUCCGAUUAGCUUGUUGGUGGGGUAAUGGCCUACCAAGGCGACGAUCGGUAGCUGGUCUGAGAGGAUGAUCAGCCACACUGGGACUGAGACACGGCCCAGACUCCUGCGGGAGGGGCAGCAGUGGGGGGAAUAUUGGGGACAAUGGGGGGCA